AUUUCGUUAUCAUCGGUCAUCUACUUCACUGCUAUGUAAAGGACCAAGUUUGAUUGAAGAAUGUUACCACGACACUGCAUUCAAGCUUUCAUACUAAGUUUAACUGUGAUAUCCCUGUCAACUGGGUUAUACUCACAGAGAUUAUUGCACAAAUUAUUAAAAUUAAAUUUUAUAUUCUAAAAUCAUUUAAUUAAUAAUAAAAUAUUUAAAUUUAAUUAUCAUCGAGUAGUAUAAUUUUCUUACUUUUCAAAGGAGGAUAGCAUAUAUUUUAACAUAAUAGAGGGAGAAGAGCAAUUCAAGGU
Molecule: long non-coding RNA, 302 nt
Filed under: Medicago truncatula (barrel medic)
Lineage: Eukaryota; Viridiplantae; Streptophyta; Magnoliopsida; Fabales; Fabaceae
Description: long non-coding RNA (MTRU_LNC008357)
Source: RNAcentral